RNAcentral lists this ribosomal RNA (331 nucleotides) under uncultured eukaryote. RNAcentral describes it as "partial 18S ribosomal RNA". It matches the Rfam family "Eukaryotic small subunit ribosomal RNA", at positions 1470 to 1796 of the family's 1831-position model. The record is from RNAcentral.
CCCUUAGAUGUUCUGGGCCGCACGCGCGCUACACUGUUCGACGCAGCGAGUCUUAACCUUGACCGAAAGGUUUGGGUAAUCUUCAGCAAAGUCGAACGUGAUGGGGAUCGAUCAUUGCAAUUAUUGAUCGUGAACGAGGAAUUCCUAGUAAGUGCAAGUCAUCAGCUUGCGCUGAUUACGUCCCUGCCCUUUGUACACACCGCCCGUCGCUACUACCGAUUGAAUGGUUUAGUGAGAUCUCUGGAUUGACGCUGGCUAGGGGGCGACCCUUGGCCAGGCUGUCGAGAAACUGCUCAAACUCGAUCAUUUAGAGGAAGUAAAAGUCGUAACA